CAGAUAACCAGGAGCAAGAUCUGGAGAAAACACGGCAGUACUCUCAAAAGCUAGGGCUGCUGACUGAGCAACUACAGAGCCUGACUCUCUUUCUACAGACAAAACUAAAGGAGAAGACUGAACAAGAGACCCUUCUGCUGAGUACAGCCUGUCCUCCCACCCAGGAACACCCUCUGCCUAAUGACAGGACCUUCCUGGGAAGCAUCUUGACAGCAGUGGCAGAUGAAGGUUAAAGGCCCUGGGAUUUGGGGGUGGGAAAGUUGUGACGCUGCUCCUGAUAUCUUCUGCUGUUGAAGAUGUCCACCAGCGGGCUUGUCUAUCUUACCCUGGCUUCCAUUAUGGUAGACCCCUGCCUGGAUCAUCAGAGGGGCCCUCUCCCAUUAUUGGUUUUUCUCUUAGAGCCAGAAUCAACUCCUGUGCCCUUGCUUGGAAGUGACAAGAGUGCUUUCACCCGAGUAGCAUCAAUGGUUUCCCUUCAGCCCGCAGAGACCCCAGGCAUGGAGGAGAGCCUGGCAGAAAUGAGUAUUAUGACUACUGAGCUUCAGAGUCUUUGUUCCCUGCUACAAGAGUCUAAAGAAGAAGCCAUCAGGACUCUGCAGCGAAAAAUUUGUGAGCUGCAAGCUAGGCUGCAGGCCCAGGAAGAACAGCAUC
Molecule: long non-coding RNA, 651 nt
Filed under: Homo sapiens (human)
Lineage: Eukaryota; Metazoa; Chordata; Mammalia; Primates; Hominidae
Description: non-protein coding lnc-ALDOC-2:1
Source: RNAcentral